CUCAGAGGCAGUGUCCAGCACACCACCUGCCAGAGAGUCCCACAAGCUUGUUAAACGGACCUGGGUGGGCAGAAACGGCGGCGGGCGCUCGUGGCGUCGCGUCGCCGCCGCCUGGGCGGGAGCCGGGCCGAGCUCGACGAGGCUGCGCAGGGGUGGCGCCGGCAGUGCGCCUGCGCGUGCGUGGGGCGGGGCGGCGUCGGGAGGGGCGGGCGCACAAAGCCGGCGUUUAGGAGGGGCGCUACGGGGAGCGGCGAGGAGCAGAAGCCUUCGCGCAGGCCCAACGCCUUAAAGGGGCAGGUGCUGCGCGGACUUCUUGCUGAAAAGCGCUAACCCUGAAGUUGGCCGGUGCGGGCCCGUCUGCUCCUGAACUUUCCAGAACCUGAAGUACCUACGGGAAAGUGCUCGGUGCCCCUCGCACGUUCACAACCUGUGCCAGCCCUGCAGGGGCGCCGCUUCAGGAUUGGGGGUCGGCGGGCCCUACCCUCUCUUCUGGGACCGCCCUCCAGGACGGCGUCCCCGAGUGCCGGCGGCGCACGCGUCUGGGCCCGGCGUGGCCGAGUUCCCGCCGUGUCUCCGCUGCAGCCCGGGACCCCCCUGCGCCCAGGGACCCGCACCUGGCCACUUGACAACGGAGGGCCUGCGCGGAGCCUCCUGGACGCCCGCUUUCCCUGCCCAGCGCCCGGGGCGCGCCUGCCACGCUGCUGAGCCCCCCACCGGAGUCAGCCCUCACAGCACCGUCACCUGAUGUGACAGAUUGCGGGGGGUGGGGAGUCGGCCCAGAGAGGAGGGCUCCAGGCACAGGCAGAGGCUGGAGCCGGGCUCUGGCCCUGAACCCUGUGCGCUGCCCCCCAGUAACGCACGCCUGCUCCCCUUUUUGUUCUUAGGGUCUUAAGAGUCUUCUAAGUGGCCGUGGUCUCCGCUUCUCCAACCGAGGCCUGUGGGUAGGAUAAGAUGAUGUCCCUUAUUUCCCAUUAAAAUUAGGAACACCCACUGUGGUAUCAGCAGGAACCAGUGCAGACAAGAGGACCGAGCAUUUGAAAUGGAUAUGCCCAGGGAGCCGAGGUGCGUCUUUGUUAUAGGAGCUCCCCUCCCAAGGGGAAUGCAGGGGCUUCAAAGUGCAUAGCUCCCUGCGGACCUCUGUGCCCAGGAGGCCUAUUCACGGUAGGCCAGAUGCCCAGGUGCCAGAGGCAGUGUCCAUGGAAGUAAUGACGUCCAGCUCAGAAAAAUCACAGGUUGAAAUGGGAGAGUGAAUAAAAACUACAGAGAAAGGGAAAACAUUACAGAGGCUUGUCCCAGUGUCUUUGGCGGGUGGCAUGGGAUGAGAGGAGGCCAAGGAGGAGCGUCUGUGUGCUUGAUUCUCAAGUACGUUUGUUACACGUGUUACCUCUGGCACCUUCACAACAAACCUGAGAAGUGGAUGCCUUUGUUUCUUUUCACAAUGAAGACACCAAAGCUCAGAGAGUUUGAGAAGCUGCCCACGGAUCCACAGGCAGUGGGCACAGCAUGAAGUCAGGACUAGCUCAAGGCAGAACCUGCCCUCCCAGCCACCAGACCUCACAACCCGCUCAGAGGUGCCAGUGGGGUGGAUGGCAGAUGAAUGGACAGGACGGCCGCCUCCGCGGGACCACCAUUCCAGGGGGCAGCUGAUGCUGUCCAGAGACCCCAGGGCUUCCACCAGCCCAGGGAGCCAGGACAGUCACCUGAAGCCUUCCUCCAGAACCCAGGCUCCCAUCCCUUCCUGCCCUUGCUCACUACUGUGGGCUCACGGGAGCAGCGAUAGCCCAUCCAGGCUGCAGUGCCUGCUGGCAGGGGGGUGCACAGCAAGUACUCAAUAAAGACCCUCCCAAUGAAUGAA
Long non-coding RNA from Manis pentadactyla (Chinese pangolin), 1855 nucleotides. RefSeq lists it as uncharacterized. The record is from RefSeq and is a predicted model, not a curated record. The transcript is spliced from 6 exons. Lineage: Eukaryota; Metazoa; Chordata; Mammalia; Pholidota; Manidae.